Non-coding RNA from Salvelinus sp. IW2-2015, 1629 nucleotides. NCBI's taxonomy places the organism in Eukaryota, Metazoa, Chordata, Actinopteri, Salmoniformes, Salmonidae. The record is from RefSeq and is a predicted model, not a curated record.
AUCGUUCGCAUCCUCACGGCUAAAAUCAAAGAGAGCGCAGAUGACAUCAUGCAUUUGGUGUAAAAGAACACAAUCAAUAUCGUUAACCUGAAGAAAUCGAUUGAUUUCAGUGCUGACGAAGUAAAAACUCGGAAGCAGCAGAACGCAACAUUGAACAUUCAGGUUGCAAAGCAGAAUAAUAAACUCACUGAAAUGGAGUCAAAGGUAAACGAGAAUGACCGGUAUAGUCGGAGAUGGAGUCUUCGAAUUUAUGGAAUAGCAGAAAAAUCUGACGAGAACAUCAAAGCAAGAGUGAAGGACAUUUGCAGGGCAAAGAGAUGGGGAAAACAACCAGCCACCACGACCAGUGAUCAUGAGGUUCAAGGAGGAUCUGACAGCAUUUGACAAAGAAGCUCUGAAUCGUCUGUGGCCGAUAAUUGAGAGAGCAAGGAAGGAAGGGAAAAGUGCAUACUUUGCGGUACCGAAGGCUUUUGUUUAAUGGAAGGGAAAUUCACGCUGACGCCUAGUUUGUUGACUGCUGGACUUGUCAAUUGAGUAGUGCAGGACUGAGUUUUAUUUGCUAAUUUGAUAAAACUAGAUAUUUCUUGAGGAAAGAGCAUUGUUUGUGUGAGCCAAACUUUUUUUAUAUAUAUAUUUUUUUUUAUGGCAGGGAAAUUCGCACUGACACUUAAUGUUAGCUUGAUGGCUAUUCGUUUUUACCAAUCUAUGGUACAAUGUUAUUUGCAAUUGUAUAAAUAUAUAUCAUUUAGAUCAACCACUUGCGUGGAGCAAAGGUAUGUUUUUAUUUGCAACUAGUAAGACCUUUUCUUUUUAUGAGAACCCGAUUCAUGUGAACGUAUACAAGUUUAAUAUUCUUCAUAUAGUCACUGUGAUAGUAAAUGUCCAUUUCUGUUUUUCCUAUUAAUGCCAGGGGAAUCUGUAUUUUUUUUAAAGGGAGAUCUUUAUUUUUGUAUUGUAAGGGUUUCAUUCAAGAAACUCAUGCCUGUUGCACAGAUACUGCGUUUUGGAAGUGUCAAUGGUGAUGAUAUGAAUGAUAUUUGGUUUUCGUUUGGUACUAAUCGGUCAGCAGGUGUCCCUAUUUUAAAAGGCAACUUUAAGGCUCAUAUAUUGAGUCAUGAAGCAGAUAAUACAGGGAGAUGGAUUAUACUAUUGGUAGAUGUCAACCAUGUUCWAUUCAUUGUUGUAAAUACUUAAGCUUCCAAUAACAAGUCAAGUAACUAUUUUAUUUAGAGACAUUGAGAGGAAAAUAAGUAAAAUUAUGUCUAAAUUUCAAUUGGCCAAAGUAAUAUGGGGUGGAGAUUUUAAUACACUAUUACAUGAUAAUCUAGAUAGAGGAUAGCAAUUCUGUUUGUGAGAUAAGGAAUAGAUGUCUAAGGUUAGGUGUUCUAGAUAUUUGGAGACAUAAGAACCCAGAUAAGAUUAUGUUUACAUGGAGUACCAAAGAUUUAUCGAUACAAUCCCAUAUUGAUUUCUGGCUGAUAUCUGCAGAUAUGGCUGACAAGGUUGAUAAAAUCAAUGGUUCAAUCGAGACUGUAACAGACCACAACAGGAUCUCAAUAAAGAUAAAUAUGCAUGGUUUGUCAACCAAAAAAAGUUAAAGGUUACUGGAAAAUGAACAAGACUUUACUA